CCUACGGGGGGCAGCAGUGAGGAAUAUUGGUCAAUGGACGAGAGUCUGAACCAGCCAAGUAGCGUGAAGGAUGACUGCCCUAUGGGUUGUAAACUUCUUUUAUAAAGGAAUAAAACGAGGCACGUGUGCCUUUUUGCAUGUACUUUAUGAAUAAGGAUCGGCUAACUCCGUGCCAGCAGCCGCGGUAAUACGGGGGGUGCAAGCGUUGUCCGGAAUCAUUGGGCGUAAAGCGUUCGUAGGCGGUAUGUCAAGUCUGAUGUUAAAGCCCGGGGCUCAACUCCGGUUCGGCAUUGGAUACUGGCAAACUAGAAUGUGGUAGAGGUAAAGGGAAUUCCUGGUGUAGCGGUGAAAUGCGUAGAUAUCAGGAGGAACAUCGGUGGCGAAAGCGCUUUACUGGACCAUUAUUGACGCUGAGGAACGAAAGCCAGGGGAGCAAAUGGGAUUAGAUACCCUUGUAGUC
RNAcentral lists this ribosomal RNA (460 nucleotides) under uncultured bacterium. RNAcentral's name for it is "partial 16S ribosomal RNA". It matches the Rfam family "Bacterial small subunit ribosomal RNA", at positions 338 to 795 of the family's 1533-position model. The record is from RNAcentral.